UACGAAGGGGGCUAGCGUUGUUCGGAUUCACUGGGCGUAAAGCGCGCGUAGGCGGCUUCUUAAGUCAGGGGUGAAAGCCUGGGGCUCAACCCCAGAACUGCCCUUGAUACUGAGGAGCUUGAGUCCGGGAGAGGUGAGUGGAACUCCGAGUGUAGAGGUGAAAUUCGUAGAUAUUCGGAAGAACACCAGUGGCGAAGGCGGCUCACGGGCCCGGUACUGACGCUGAGGUGCGAAAGCGUGGGGAGCAAACAGG
This 253-nucleotide ribosomal RNA is filed under the name uncultured bacterium. RNAcentral describes it as "partial 16S ribosomal RNA". It matches the Rfam family "Bacterial small subunit ribosomal RNA", at positions 524 to 776 of the family's 1533-position model. The record is from RNAcentral.